UCUUGCGUCUCCCAACCCCAUUGUGCACCAAGAAAAACACCAACAAUAGCGAAACAUACCCUCCUCCCCCAAAGAAGAAGCAGUACUUGAUAAACUUCACUUCGGUCUCUCAAAUAGGCGUCGACAAAUCCACACACUGCAUUCAUCCACGUACGUCCGUUCUCCGGAGACCUCUCCCUCCCCCUGAUCGACCACCAACGAACGCAUCAACGUAUUCGCGAAAGCAGCAGAGCGAUCGUAUCCCACGCGCGCUGUCUCUCCCCCUCCCCUUUUUUCUUUGUCGUUGUCACCUUUUUUUUUCGUUUGGUUUCUCUCGCCGAUCUUUUAUCGUGGAAGACGAGCCCACGGAACGUAUCACUGUGUUAUCUGCAAACGCGGCUAUCUAGUCCUACGUGCCACGCACAGUCACACGGCACACAUACACACACAUAUACACACGCAUAUACACACGCACACACAAGGCAAACGCGCGCGCGUACGCUCUUCAGCUCAAAGUAAGAAGAACAAGCAAAGGCGGCACCUCUGACUGGGCACGUGUGUGCCCACGCGCAUCCACACAAAAGGCAAACAAACCAACCGCCUUUCCUUCUUCCCUCCAAAACGAGUUUUUUUCCUUUGUUUUCAUCUGCGUGCUGUACUGUGCCGCUGCGCUCGUGUUGUCGUUUUUUUUUUUUCGAGCCCUUGAUUGCUCUCAUCCGUCCUACCUACCACUGUCACACACCUCUCCUCCCUACUCGUGUGACCCCUCGCUUUUCUUUUGUUUUUCUUUGCGUCCACGUCCGCCCCACCACACCUCUCCCCCUUUUCUUGUUACAGUGAAGAGGAGACACGCUCUCGUAGCUUUAUUCAAGCAAACGCACUCUCCCUUGUUGAUCACGUCGGCUCCCAUCUCACUGCAACUCCCUCCCCCGUCCUUUUUUUCUCUUCCUAUUUUGCCAGCUCUCGGCUCGAGCCGUCCCUUCCCCUCUACAUCGCGACCCCUCAGAUACUUGAUCUACACCACACACGCACACCUGCCGAUAUAGUUCUUUUAUUUUUCCACCAUGAGCGCUGCACCGUCCGACGUAGCUGAACAGCAUGUCGACCCCGCACCUGCCGAUAGUGUUGCCCCGCUAGCGAACGCCUCUCAGCAGGAGGAAUCUGCGACGAACAACUUUCACUCCAGCAGUGCUGGUAACGGCAAAGUGCUGCCAGGGAUCCCGAACGCCAAGAAGCGUCUCUUGCGGAAGAGCAGGAGCGUGGCGACUGUAGAGGCGGCCAAAAAGUGCAAGGAGGAGGACAAAAAGCUUGCGGACGAAAUCGCGAAGGCUCGCGAGGCAGAGGCUCGAGCAGCAAAGGAGAAGGCGAAGCGGAUUCGUGAGGCCGAGGCCGAGAGCCGCAAGAAGCGAGAUCAUAAGGAUGUGCGUAUUCAGAAGGACGUAGAGGAGGAGCGGAAGCAGAGGGAGGAGCUGCAGCGUCAGCGCGAGGAGGAGGAGAAGCAGCGCAUCGAGAUGGUGCGCAAGCAGCGUGAGGAGGCCCAAAAGAAGCGGGAGGAGAUCCAGAAGCAGCGCGAGGAUGAGAUCAAGCGCCGCAAGGCUGAGAUCGAAGCAGAGAGGCAGAAGCUGAAGGAGCUGCAGGAGGAGCACGAGAGGGAGCAGGAGGAGGUCCGCCAGCGUCGCGUCGCGGAGGAGAAGGAGGCACAGAAGAGGGCCGAGAAGAAGGCCGAGGAGGUCGAGGGCGAGUUCGCUGCGGCGCGCCGGCAGAGGAAGGGGGAGUUGGAGGAGCUGCAGCGCCAGCGCGAGGAGGAGGAGAAGCAGCGCAUCGAGAUGGUGCGCAAGCAGCGUGAGGAGGCCCAAAAGAAGCGGGAGGAGAUCCAGAAGCAGCGCGAGGAUGAGAUCAAGCGCCGCAAGGCUGAGAUCGAAGCAGAGAGGCAGAAGCUGAAGGAGCUGCAGGAGGAGCACGAGAGGGAGCAGGAGGAGGUCCGCCAGCGUCGCGUCGCGGAGGAGAAGGAGGCACAGAAGAGGGCCGAGAAGAAGGCCGAGGAGGUCGAGGGCGAGUUCGCUGCGACGCGCCGGCAGAGGAAGGGGGAGUUGGAGGAGCUGCAGCGCCAGCGCGAGAAGGAGGAGAAGCAGCGCAUCGAGAUGGUGCGCAAGCAGCGUGAGGAGGCCCAGAGGAAGAAGGAGAAACUGAAGGAGAGGGACAGCAAGGAAGCGGAGGAGAUCAAGCGCCAGCGGAAGGAAGAGCAGGCGGAGCUGCAGAAGUGGCGGGAAAAGGAGCAGGAGGCGCAGCGCAAGAAGAUCGAGGAGCUUCGCACGAAAGGCAAGAAGGACUCGAAAAAGGAGCAGAUUCUAAAGGAAAAAAGGAGGACUGCUGCUGCGGAGCGAGAGCGCCUGGAGGAGCAGCGCAGGAAGCAGAAGGAAGAGGAGGAGAAGGAGCUAGAGGCGAAGCGCAAAAGGGUGAUGGAGCAGCUAGAGAAGAACUACGACAUCGUUGACGAGGAGGAGUACGAGCGAGAGCGGGAGAAGGCAAGACAGAUGAGGGAAGAGCAGGAAAAGGCAAGUGCCGUGGCCCUCGGACUUGCGUAGACGACAUUGAACGAACCAAACUCCGUCAUACGCGCGUGCGCGGCAGGAGGGAAGGGGUGAUCUGCUCCUCCCGUGCGUGCUGGGGACUUUUCCCAGGGCUGCUGAGCACUUUCUCUCUCUGCGUUAUCCGUUGCACACACACACACAUAUAUAUAUAUACACAGACAUAUAAGCACACACAAUUACACAUUCCGUUCUGCUUUUUUUUUUUCGUCCUUUUUCUUCCUUUGCCCACUUCGCCACUACUGCCUUUGCAUCUCUGUGCGCGCGUGUUUGUGCUUGAUGCCAGCAUUGCACCCUCCUCCCCCUCCUUCUCUGGCCAUUGCACGAAGCCAUGUAGACUCUGUAGAUGUGCCUAAUGGUGGCGAUGAUAUUGUGUGACCUUGUCCUUCCUUUUCCUUUUUUUUCUCCUUGCUUCCUCCGCUAUGCUCGCCUUGUUUUUCCCUUUUAGCAUGAUGAGGCGUGUGUGUGUGUGAGAGCGUGCCUCUCUUGGCACCGGGGCAUUGCUCUUUUUUCGUCAUUAACGGCAUCGCCUAGCGUUGGCUGCCUUGCACGCCAUCUUCCUUUUUCCCUCUUCCCCAACCUGCUCUCUUUCCCUUCUUCUGUAUUGCCGUGAAUACGCUUUCGGCUUCACGGAUGACCUCUUUUUCAUGACUUGUACGCUAGCUGAUGGGUGACUGUGUCCUCUUCCGCGCAUGCACGCCGGACUCUCGAUCUGUGGUGACGGUACCCUCUAGCGUGUGCUGUAGGUCGUAUUUGUGGCCGGUUGCUGCUUUUUCAUGGAUGAGGGAGGGGUCUUUUCACGGUGCGGCGCUGUGUGUUCUCAUUGUAGCUGAGUGAUGUCUGUGAUGUGAUGCUGCGUCUCUCUCUAUCUCUGUACUUGUGUGUGUGUGUGUGUGGACGGCUAGGCGGAUCCCGAUAGAAAGUGUGUGCUGUCGCUCUCGUUGUGCGUGUCUCUGUACAUGUAUUCCUUGGGCCUCUUUCUUUCACCCAUUACCCCUCUGUGUUUGGUGUUCCACACCUGGUCUCUCUCCCUUCUCUCGUCUUUAGUCGUCCUGUGCGUUGCCUCAGGACAUUGCCUUUAUUUUCCGUUUUUUUUUUGCUGUAGCAAGCUCUUGUCUUUCCCUCUCUCGCUCGCCCUCCUCCUCUGUCUUUCCUACGCUGGCUGUAUCUUUCUCUUCUCUGUGACCUUGUCUGUCUCUCCCACCACACAUACACAUUCCCGAAUACGCGUGAGUGCGCUAUCGAGAUGCACUCUCUUUGGUUUUUUUUUUUGCUUCGUGGCUUCUCUUUCUCUCUCCCUGCUCUUCCCUUCUCCACCCUCUCUUGCUUUCAUGCAGGCCAUAUGUGUGCGCCGAAGCUACGAGGGAGAAAAGGGAGCCAUGGAUUCUGCAGGAGUUCCAUUGGGGGUGGGGGUUGGGGGGGCGGGGAGGGCUUUGCAUGUGGCCUGUGCGCGUGUACGUACAUAUGUAUGUAUGCGUAUCUCUUCCUCUCUUCCAGAUAUCAUCAAGCGAAUCGAGCGUGCGCCGUAUCUUCUUCUCGUCUCUCUUCUUUGUAUCCAUGCACGUCUUCGAGCUCCGUCUUCGUGUGUUCAGUGUGAUCUUGGUCUCUUUCUUUGUUUUUGUGUCUCUCCAUGCUCGAGGAUACUCGUGUGUGUGGGGGUGCGCCUGCCUCCCCCCAGCCACACGCCCUUUUUCCCUGAGAGAGGGGGAGAGAGAUUUGCUCGCCCCCUCACCCAAUUGCCUUGUGCUUAUAUAUAUAUCUUCACCUGUUCGGUUUCGGUUCUCUUCUCAGGCCAGCCACCGUCUCUACCCUGCCCCUGUUUAACAAUCCGUCAUCGUCGUCGCUUCCUCCAGAAAACGGAGAACCAACCCCUUUCCCUUUUUGAUCCAAUGAACCAAGCACAUGGAGCGAGAGGGCACCAAAAAG
This 4493-nucleotide unclassified non-coding RNA is filed under the name Leishmania donovani. RNAcentral's name for it is "gene:LdHU3.28.3210(CDS-product:glycoprotein_96-92 _putative)". Lineage: Eukaryota; Euglenozoa; Kinetoplastea; Trypanosomatida; Trypanosomatidae. The record is from RNAcentral.